AUGUGGGAAUCAUAAUGGCCGAAAAUCUAAGGUUUCUUGGGGAAGGUUCGUCCGCCCAAGGUAAGCCGGGAGCUAAGGCGAGGCCGAGAGGCGUAGUCGAUGCACAUACGGUUGAAAUUCCGUAGCCACCGAAACUUAAGUUAGAGGGACACUUGGAACUAUCUGAUCCCGGGCGUUGGUUGACCCGGGCGAAAGGGACCGAAAUCAAGUAGGGAAGUCAGAGAACGACGAGGCGAGAAAAGCUCUAAUGUAUGCUAAGGUGCCCGUACCGCAAACCGACACAGGUAGAUGAGGAGAGGAUCCUAAGGCCAACGGGAGAAGGGUUGUUAAGGAACUCGGCAAAAUUACCCCGUAACUUCGGGAUAAGGGGAGCUCCCUAAGGGGAGCCGCAGAGAAUAGGCCCAAGCGACUGUUUACCAAAAACACAGGUCUAUGCUAAAUCGAAAGAUGACGUAUAUGGGCUGACGCCUGCCCGGUGCUGGAAGGUUAAGAGGAGAGCUUAGCGCAAGCGAAGGUUUGAAUUGAAGCCCCAGUAAACGGCGGCCGUAACAAUAACGGUCCUAAGGUAGCGAAAUUCCUUGUCAGGUAAGUUCUGACCCGCACGAAUGGCGUAACGAUUUGGGCGCUGUCUCAACAGCCCACCCGGCGAAAUUGUAGUACUGGUGAAGAUGCCAGUUACCCGCAACUAGACGGAAAGACCCCAUGGAGCUUUACUGUAGCUUAAUACUGAGGAUUGGUAAAUCACGUACAGGAUAGGUGGGAGACAUGGAAGUAUUGGCGUCAGCCAGUAUGGAGUCACCCUUGGGAUACCACCCUUGAUUUACUGGUUUUCUAACCUGCGGCCCUGGAUCGGGUCGGGGGACACUGUUAGGUGGGCAGUUUGACUGGGGCGGUCGCCUCCUAAAAGGUAACGGAGGCGCUCAAAGGUUCGUUCAGCACGGACGAAAAAUCGUGCAGUGAGUGUAAACGCAGGAACGAGCCUAACUGCGACACCGACGGGUGGAGCAGUAACGAAAGUUGGAGUUAGUGAUCCGGCGGUAUGCAAGUGGAAGUGCCGUCGCUCAACGGAUAAAAGCUACCCUGGGGAUAACAGGCUGAUCUCCCCCAAGCGUCCACAGCGACGGGGAGGUUUGGCACCUCGAUGUCGGCUCGUCACAUCCUGGGGCUGUAUUCGGUCCCAAGGGUUCGGCUGUUCGCCGAUUAAAGUGGCACGCGAGCUGGGUUCAGAACGUCGUGAGACAGUUCGGUCCCUAUCUGUUGCGGGCGUAAGAGAUUUGAAGGGAGCUGUCCUUAGUACGAGAGGACCGGGAUGGACAGACCUCUGGUGCACCAGUUGUCCUGCCAAGGGCACAGCUGGGUAGCUACGUCUGGACGAGAUAAACGCUGAAAGCAUCUAAGCGUGAAACUCCCCCUAAGAUAAGAUCUCUCAUCCUUUAAGGAGUAAGGCUCGACGUAGACUAUGUCGUUGAUAGGUCGGAGGUGGAAGUGCCGUGAGGCAUGUAGCUGACCGAUACUAAUAAGCGGAGGGCUUGACUAA
Molecule: ribosomal RNA, 1537 nt
Filed under: metagenome
Description: bacterial LSU rRNA
Rfam family: Bacterial large subunit ribosomal RNA
Source: RNAcentral